This 664-nucleotide long non-coding RNA is filed under the name Medicago truncatula (barrel medic). Its description in RNAcentral is "lncRNA gene42749". Lineage: Eukaryota; Viridiplantae; Streptophyta; Magnoliopsida; Fabales; Fabaceae. The record is from RNAcentral.
GCGCAGAUUCAAGCCACAGUGAAUGAUCAGGUUAUGGUGACAUAUAUGAACAUGCACAUGUGGAACAAGAGAAUAAACAAGUUCCUGUUGAAGAGGAACCUCUUUUGAUACCAGUUAUAUCCCAGCCGAAUUUUGAGCAUAAUGUAUUCCAAAACAAUAUUAUACAAGAGGAACUAGCUCAUACUGAUACUUCCCAUACUGAGAACCCCCUUCCCCAGCACGGCAGCACCGCUACCCGGUGCUUCAGAAUGUCUUGGAAUUGCUUCGUCAAAUAAGGGCUACGAAAAAUGACGCUUCAAACGAACAUUUUACUCCUCAUUUGUUGAAGAAGCAGAAGAAACAACUCACCAAAGUCACUACACACAACACCCGUUCCAAGGGCGACUGAGGAGCAUAUUUUCCUUUAGGGCCACUUCUUUUUUCUCUGUUUUUUUCCCCCUGUUUGUUUUUCUAUCUUUGAUGGUUUUGGUGUUGUAUAUGAUAGUGUUUUUGGAGGUGCCAAUCUUGUUAGAUGUCUGAGUCUCCUCUUAAUGUAUUUCCUUUCUUCUCACUUAUAAAAAAAAUCUAUAGUGAGCUAGGUUACUCUCGUGCGAUGUAGAGUUGUGUUGUAGGAAAAAUGAUCAGAAAAUUAUACUACCUCUGUCCCUAAAUAUAGGAGUUUUUU